GGAAAGCUCCGGCGGCGGGGGAUGGGCUCGCGGCCCAUCAGGUAGACGGCGGGGCAGAGGCCCACCGUGCCGACGACGGGUAGCCGGGUUGAGAGACCGACCGGCCACAUUGGGACUGAGAUACGGCCCAGACUCCUACGGGAGGCAGCAGUGGGGAAUUUUGCGCAAUGGGGGCAACCCUGACGCAGCAACGCCGCGUGCGGGACGAAGGCGUCCGCGUCGUAAACCGCUUUCAGCGGGGAACACCUAAACGAGGGUACCCGCAGAAGAAGCCCCGGCUAAAUACGUGCCAGCAGCCGCGGUAAUACGUAUGGGGCGAGCGUUAUCCGGAUUCAUUGGGCGUAAAGCGCGCGUAGGCGGAGCGCUAAGCGGGACCUCUAACCCGAGGGCUCAACCCCCGGCCGGGUCCCGAACUGGCGCUCUCGAGUGCGGUAGGGGAGAGCGGAAUUCCCGGUGUAGCGGUGGAAUGCGCAGAUAUCGGGAAGAACACCGACGGCGAAGGCAGCUCUCUGGGCCGAAACUGACGCUGAGGCGCGAAAGCUGGGGGAGCGAACAGGAUUAGAUACCCUGGUAGUCCCAGCCGUAAACGAU
This 591-nucleotide ribosomal RNA is filed under the name uncultured bacterium. RNAcentral's name for it is "bacterial SSU rRNA". It matches the Rfam family "Bacterial small subunit ribosomal RNA", at positions 201 to 810 of the family's 1533-position model. The record is from RNAcentral.